This 497-nucleotide ribosomal RNA is filed under the name uncultured bacterium. Its description in RNAcentral is "partial 16S ribosomal RNA". It matches the Rfam family "Bacterial small subunit ribosomal RNA", at positions 28 to 507 of the family's 1533-position model. The record is from RNAcentral.
GAUGAACGCUGGCGGCGUGCCUAAUACAUGCAAGUCGAGCGAACAGACGAGGAGCUUGCUCCUCUGACGUUAGCGGCGGACGGGUGAGUAACACGUGGAUAACCUACCUAUAAGACUGGGAUAACUUCGGGAAACCGGAGCUAAUACCGGAUAAUAUAUUGAACCGCAUGGUUCAAUAGUGAAAGACGGUUUUGCUGUCACUUAUAGAUGGAUCCGCGCCGCAUUAGCUAGUUGGUAAGGUAACGGCUUACCAAGGCAACGAUGCGUAGCCGACCUAAGAGGGCGAUCGGCCACACUGGAACUGAGACACGGUCCAGACUCCUACGGGAGGCAGCAGUAGGGAAUCUUCCGCAAUGGGCGAAAGCCUGACGGAGCAACGCCGCGUGAGUGAUGAAGGUCUUCGGAUCGUAAAACUCUGUUAUUAGGGAAGAACAAAUGUGUAAGUAACUAUGCACGUCUUGACGGUACCUAAUCAGAAAGCCACGGCUAACUACGUG